GACGAACGCUGGCGGCGUGCUUAACACAUGCAAGUCGAGCGGUAAGGCCCUUUCGGGGGUACGACGAGCGGCGAACGGGUGAGUAACACGUGGGUGACCUGCCCUCAGCUCUGGGAUAAGCCUGGGAAACCGGGUCUAAUACCGGAUAUGACUCCAUGACGCAUGUUGUGGGGUGGAAAGCCUUGUGCGGCUGAGGAUGGGCCCGCGGCCUAUCAGCUUGUUGGUGGGGUGANGGCCUACCAAGGCGACGACGGGUAGCCGGCCUGAGAGGGCGACCGGCCACACUGGGACUGAGACACGGCCCAGACUCCUACGGGAGGCAGCAGUGGGGAAUCUUGCGCAAUGGGCGAAAGCCUGACGCAGCGACGCCGCGUGAGGGAUGACGGCCUGG
Molecule: ribosomal RNA, 391 nt
Filed under: uncultured bacterium
Lineage: Bacteria
Description: bacterial SSU rRNA
Rfam family: Bacterial small subunit ribosomal RNA
Source: RNAcentral